This is a long non-coding RNA of Neltuma alba, 290 nucleotides long. RefSeq lists it as uncharacterized. Lineage: Eukaryota; Viridiplantae; Streptophyta; Magnoliopsida; Fabales; Fabaceae. The transcript is spliced from 3 exons. The record is from RefSeq and is a predicted model, not a curated record.
AUAUUAUUCCUAUUAGAGAAGUUGCAAGAUGACAAUAGAGUAAUGAUAGCUGAUGGAGUGGUGCAUAUGAUAUCAUAGGAGCACAUGGAUGCAGAUAUUUGGGAUAUUAGAGGUUGAAGAAUGAUUUUCAGGAAGCAGAACCUCACUCUCCAGAGUUGACGCAUCUGCUUGCUGGGAGAUCAUCGGGCUAACUUGACAUGACAGAGUUCUGCUGUCAAAGGAACUUUAAUUUCUCCCCUUCAAGUUUUAUUAUUGUCUAUACUGUAAUGCCAACCAUAUCAUGUAUUUCA